UGCCUUUUGGUUUGGAUAACACGGGGAAACUUGUGCUAAUACCGGAUAAGCCCUUACGGGGAAAGUUUUAACGCCGAAAGAUGAGCCCGCACUUGAUUAGCUAGUUGGUAAGGUAAAAGCUUACCAAGGCAAUGAUCAAUAGCUGUUCUUAGAGGAAGACCAGCCACAUUGGGACUGAGACACGGCCCAGACUCCUACGGGAGGCAGCAGUGGGGAAUCUUGCACAAUGGGGGAAACCCUGAUGCAGCGAUGCCGCGUGAGUGAAGAAGGCCCUUGGGUUGUAAAACUCUUUCGUCGGGGAAGAAAAUGACUGUACCCGAAUAAGAAGGUCCGGCUAACUUCGUGCCAGCAGCCGCGGUAAUACGAAGGGACCUAGCGUAGUUCGGAAUUACUGGGCUUAAAGAGCUCGUAGGUGGUUAAAAAAGUUGAUGGUGAAAUCCCAAGGCUCAACCUUGGAACUGCCAUCAAAACUUUUUAGCUAGAGUGUGAUAGAGGUAAGUGGAAUUUCUAGUGUAGAGGUGAAAUUCGUAGAUAUUAGAAAGAACACCAAAUGCGAAGGCAACUUACUGGGUCACUACUGACACUGAGGAGCGAAAGCAUGGGUAGCGAAGAGGAUUAGAUACCCUCGUAGUCCAUGCCGUAAACGAUGUGUGCUAGACGUUGGAAAUAUAUUUUUCAGUGUCGCAGCGAAAGCGUUAAGCACACCGCCUGGGGAGUACGACCGCAAGGUUAAAACUCAAAUGAAUUGACGGGGACCCGCACAAGCAGUGGAGCAUGUGGUUUAAUUCGAAGAUACGCGCAGAACCUUACCAACACUUGACAUGUUCGUCG
RNAcentral lists this ribosomal RNA (831 nucleotides) under marine metagenome. RNAcentral describes it as "bacterial SSU rRNA". It matches the Rfam family "Bacterial small subunit ribosomal RNA", at positions 127 to 995 of the family's 1533-position model. The record is from RNAcentral.